This 275-nucleotide ribosomal RNA is filed under the name uncultured Acidaminococcus sp. Its description in RNAcentral is "partial 16S ribosomal RNA". It matches the Rfam family "Bacterial small subunit ribosomal RNA", at positions 355 to 622 of the family's 1533-position model. The record is from RNAcentral. Lineage: Bacteria; Bacillati; Bacillota; Negativicutes; Acidaminococcales; Acidaminococcaceae.
UGGGGAAUCUUCCGCAAUGGACGAAAGUCUGACGGAGCAACGCCGCGUGAGUGAUGAAGGCCUUCGGGUUGUAAACUCUGUUGUCAGGGACGAACGUGCCGAUCUACAAUACAUUUCGGCAGUGACGGUACCUGACGAGGAAGCCACGGCUAACUACGUGCCAGCAGCCGCGGUAAUACGUAGGUGGCAAGCGUUGUCCGGAAUUAUUGGGCGUAAAGAGCAUGUAGGCGGGCUUUUAAGUCCGACGUGAAAAUGCGGGGCUUAACCCCGUAUGG